CACCCAUUGUUUGUUAUCCUACGUCGUUAUCAAUAAUAUAGUAUUACAAAUUAUUCUACACACUCCCCCCUUUGAGCCUGUAAGGGUCAAACAUGACUUGUGUUCUCCAACGUGCAUCCAAAGCUGCUGCUCUCCUGGGUCUAUUACUAUGGACACAGCUUUCCACCUUACCCUUCUCUCCGUCUUUCUCAUUCAUUUCCGUCUUUCCUUUCUCAUUAAUUUUCGUCUUUCCUUUCUGGUUAUCAUACCCAUCCACUUCAUUUUCAACUUUAUUAUCCUUUCUUUCUUCCGUACCGCUUCCGUUCUCAUUUAACUCUACAGGAUACAAUUUCUGAACUGGUCUAUUAAGAUAUAUUGGAUUUCCUUUAGUCAUCACUCUCACUUUCGCUCCUCAAACCAC
This is a non-coding RNA of Paramuricea clavata, 400 nucleotides long. The record is from the annotation of a GenBank genome assembly. Lineage: Eukaryota; Metazoa; Cnidaria; Anthozoa; Malacalcyonacea; Plexauridae.